AACUCUACAUUAAAAAGAUAUAAGAUAGAAGUUCCCUAUAAUACCUGCUAAACACACACCUGUAAGGAAAGAAUGAAAUUAAUUUGAGAGUGAGAUGACAUGAGGGAAUAUAUUUUUGAAAGCCAAGUUCAUGUAAUCAAUUAUAAUCAUUAUAACUAUAACUGCUAUAUUAUGAUAUAACUAUUGGUGUUGCAUAUAUUCAAAAAACACCACUUUUCUUAUAUUGGUGUUGCAUAUAUUUAAAACACCACUCCUUUUUAUAAUGCACCCAUAUUAAGUAGUGAAUCAAGGUUGCAGGGAUUUUGUGAACUCUGCUUCACCUAACUUUUCAGAUGAAGGAGGGGGGCCAAGAAUGAGUGGAUGAGAACAUGGGCUAGUGUUGAUUUGUUGGCAUAUGACUCCAAUUGAGUCUGAAGAGUUGGUUAACUUCUUUAGAGAUUACUGUUUGCCAAGAGAUAAGGACUGUCAAUAUAGAUUGAUGAUUGGAGCUAAUUGGGGCCUCCCAUUGCUUUCAAUGGGACGAAAAUUGUAUAAAAACCCUGGGCCGAUCACACUGAGACCACCACAAUCAAGCUGGGCAGAGCUAUGUGGUCCAUCCUUUGCAGAUCUCUACAGAACAGUCCUUCUCUUUUGUUCACGCUACUCUUCCUUAUAAUAGGAGAACUAAAUCUAUUGGUCUUUUCGCAAUCAAAGCUUAGGAGAAACAUGAAGCAUUUUUUAAGAGGAGGACAGCGCCCGUUCCAGAGGAAAAUACUACUGCACAAAACCCUUCUACUCCAGGACGGUGCUCGUGAAGGCGUUGCCCAGCCGGAGGUCAUCGGAGGAGGAGGCCCGAGUCAUCGGCUCAACAGUACAACAGUAUAGUGAGGGUUUCGUAGAGUAGGUUCCUGUAGCGGGAUGUCUCUUUUAGUGAGGCAAGCGCUCGCCUUGUGUGGCAAACUUUUAUUUUGUUUUCUUUAUUAAAUCCGGGGCCAGGAUUACCAUAGUUGGUACCCUGGUGUCGGGGCCUGUGUUUAUUAAAUCUGCGUGCCUGUGUGGUGUCAACAACCACUGCUCUGUGUCUGACUCUUUAUUUUCAGCGACGACCCACACAGGUAACAUCCUCUGUUUCAGCACCCUACACCUAAUAUAAGAUAAUUCAAGAAAACAUAUUCAAUAUAAGCAUUUAGUGAACAUUAGCCACUAAUUAACAUGACAAAAACAACGCAACUACGCAAUUUCAAAUAUUUGUUUAUGACGAAAGUAUUGGCACCUCUGAUUUAGUAUUUCGUGAGUCCUCCUUUUGCUUUUAUUAUGGCUUUCAGGCGUUUAUGAUCAUUCUUAACCAGUAUCUUAUAUCUUGUUGGUGAAAUCUAGGCUCAUUCUGUCUUGCAUAUUUCCUUCAGCUCAGCUUAAUCCAGUUCCUCACCUCUACACCCACAUAUGUCUAUAAUACUGGUUCCUUUUUAUACCAUUCUGAGUGUCAAUCAAAUUGUAGGAAUACUUGCUACAGAAUUAUGGGAGUCAUAGUUCAUAUUCCCUGUCUGUUCUCUAUGGGACAAAGGUUGGGGGUUGUAGUUUUUUAACUUUCUUGCCUGGUCUCUGUUUCUGUGUUUUUCCUUGUAUGAAGACAUUUUACCAGGAACCCCAUACCCCUGAUACUCAGUCUUCACAUUCUCAGUUCUAUCUUCCUCACUAUCUA
Molecule: long non-coding RNA, 1681 nt
Organism: Acipenser ruthenus (sterlet)
Lineage: Eukaryota; Metazoa; Chordata; Actinopteri; Acipenseriformes; Acipenseridae
Exons: 3
Source: RefSeq, a predicted model, not a curated record